This 468-nucleotide ribosomal RNA is filed under the name uncultured bacterium. RNAcentral describes it as "partial 16S ribosomal RNA". It matches the Rfam family "Bacterial small subunit ribosomal RNA", at positions 28 to 507 of the family's 1533-position model. The record is from RNAcentral.
GACGAACGCUGGCGGCGUGCUUAACACAUGCAAGUCGAACGGAAAGGCCCUGCUUUUGUGGGGUGCUCGAGUGGCGAACGGGUGAGUAACACGCGAGUAACCUGCCCCUGACUUUGGGAUAACUUCACGAAACUGCGGCUAAUACCGGAUAGGAGCUCCUGCUGCACGUGGGUGGUUGGAAAGUUUCGGCUGUUGGGGAUGGACUAGCGGCUUAUCAGCUUGUUUGUGGGGUAGUGGCUUACCAAGGCUUUGACGGGUAGCCGGCCUGAGAGGGUGACCGGCCACAUGGGGACUGAGAGACGGCGCAGACUCCUAUGGGAGGCAGAAGUGGGGAAUAUUGCAGAAUGGGGGGGAGUCUGAUGCAGCGACGCCGCGUGCGGGAUGACGGCUUUCGGGUUGUAAACCGCUGUCGCCUGUGACGAGGCGUGAGUGACGGUAAUGGGUAAAGAAGCAACGGCUAACUACGUG